RNAcentral lists this ribosomal RNA (468 nucleotides) under uncultured bacterium. RNAcentral's name for it is "bacterial SSU rRNA". It matches the Rfam family "Bacterial small subunit ribosomal RNA", at positions 28 to 507 of the family's 1533-position model. The record is from RNAcentral.
GACGAACGCUGGCGGCGUGCCUAAUACAUGCAAGUCGAGCGGAACUAGAGGCCUUCGGGCCAAUAGUUUAGCGGCGAACGGGUGAGUAACACGUGGGCAACCUGCCCUCUAGACUGGGAUAACUUGGGGAAACCGAAGCUAAUACCGGAUAAUCUUCGAGAUCGCAUGAUUUUGGAGUAAAAGACUUAGGUUACUAGAGGAUGGGCCCGCGGUGCAUUAGCUAGUUGGUGGGGUAGAGGCCUACCAAGGCGACGAUGCAUAGCCGACCUGAGAGGGUGACCGGCCACACUGGGACUGAGACACGGCCCAGACUCCUACGGGAGGCAGCAGUAGGGAAUUUUCCGCAAUGGGCGCAAGCCUGACGGAGCAACGCCGCGUGAGAGAAGACGGUUUUAGGAUUGUAAAUCUCUGUUUUCGGGGAAGAAGAAAGUGACGGUACCCGAAUAGAAAGCCCCGGCUAACUACGUG